Molecule: long non-coding RNA, 2200 nt
Organism: Oreochromis aureus
Lineage: Eukaryota; Metazoa; Chordata; Actinopteri; Cichliformes; Cichlidae
Exons: 4
Source: RefSeq, a predicted model, not a curated record
GGAAGGUCAUGGCAGAUGAAAUAAAGAAGAAACUGCCAGAUGCCACUCUCAUCUCACAGUUGAUGGAUCUGACAUUCCCACUACGUAGGCAAGAGAUUGUAAAAGAGGCACCUGCUGUACAGAACAUGGCUGAACGGUAGCCAGGUCUUUUCAAAGAGAGACAGAUAUUUGCUGAGUUCUUUAGAAUUACCAGCAAGAACCUAGAGGGAGACUUCUUUGAGACUUUGGACCAGCUAACCCCACAUUUUAUUGAAAUAUUCAAGUCCAAAAAAGGAACUACUGGGCAGAAACUGACCAAGCUAUUGCAGGACUGGUUUUACUCAAGAUGUCACUGCACUGCAUUCUGUUGUCCUGAAAGGCAUUCCAAUCAUUCUUGGUGAUGACGCCACUAAAUGUUACAAGACGUGCUUUGAUACCGAGAUCAAUGAGGCCCUGGCAUCAGUUACAGUUGGUGUGCUGAGUGUUCUGAGUGAAGACGAUCCCCCGCAGGGUUCAAGCUCAGUCUAUCUCCCUCCUACCUCCACUGCCAUUGUCAUUGAGGGAAAUCUGGUCAUGGACAACAUUAAAGACUUCCCUCAGGCGGUUUGCCUAUUAUUUGGACUUACCUAUGCUUUACACUUGGAUUACCCAAAGUACAUGACACAUACACUCACAUUUAUUCAGACAGUAAUGCUUGGUUUGGGAAACAAAACUCUUUCUCCAAAACUGCAAAGCCUCAGAAACAGUCUAAUGAUUUAGAUAACCCAGUAGAUUACUUGUCAGACUAAAGCAAAUAAUCAGCGAGGAGUCGUCAGACAGGAUUUGGCAAUUGUUUUAUUCAUUAUUGUAUUCUUGUGAUAUACUUUGCAAAAUUCAUAGCUAUUUCCUCUAAGGUGAGGUCAGGCUGGCUUUACCAGUACAGUUCAGUUCAAUACUGGUAAAGCACUUGUUCAUAUUUAAACCUUUAGCACGGAAUUCAAAGAAGAUGGCAGCAUUUGUGACCACAAAAGUUGAUUCCUUGCCGUUUUAAAAAGAACAAAAGAAACAAAGGAGGCCAAAAAUAUGUGGCUAGAAAAGACUCAAAUGUUCUCAUGUAUGCUUUUGAAUUGAAGCAAAUCCUUAAGUUUUGUCAACAGUCUAAGGUUUGAUGUCAUUUUUGAUUAUGGUUAAUGGUAACUUUGUAAAACAAAAACAUCUUAAUAGCAUUUUCCAUUUUGAAAGCAAAUGCACAUAAAAAUUGAAAGUUGAUUACAAUAAUUCUUUAGCAGUACAGCGACUGUUUAGUACCAGGUUAUCGGGGCAUCUUGUUCAAAGUCAAAGUCAAAGUCAGUUUUAUUUGUCAAUUUCUUCAAAUGUACUUGCCAUACAAAGGAAUUGAAAUUACGUUUCACACUGUCCCAUGCGUAGACAUUGACAACAAUAAAGUGCAGAUGCACAACAAAAACAGUCCUAACAAUAAGGUAAUAUUAAAAAAAAGUGCAGGUAAACUUAAGGCAUUAUAGGUAACAUACAGGAUAUAACAAGACAAGACCUAACAUAUAAUAAAGUGUUCCAACAGUGUGCCCUGGAAAGUAGUAUACUAGUCUACUUGAGGUAGUCCCAGGUUGUGGUUGGUAAGGGUUUUUGUUUUAAUGCAGCAUAAGACUGUAGCAGCAGUAGUAGUAAUAUAAAUAAUAUAAUUAGUGCUAAAAAAAAUACUAAAAAUAUAUAGCAGCAGGUGUGUGCAAUUGCAAUGCAGAGGUUCACUUGUUGUACUUUGGUUAGUAGUACUUGGGAUACUGGGGUUAGUUUUUCUGAUUAGUACAUCUUUCUUUUCGUGUGGAAGUAAUGAACAUGUUCUGUUUCCUUGUCUACAUUAGAACUGGUUCUGCAGUUAAACGUAAAACCACAAAUCUUUUUUUUUUGUUUUGAUUUUUAAGCCAUUUGAAAAAUAACAUUUUGUCUUUACAUUUAGACUACGUUUUCAUCUGAACAAUAAAUAAUUUGGUAGUUUAACUUGAAUUACAAACUCAUCAAUAUGAACAACAUAAAUUUGAUUUCAAAAUGCCUAGUAAAUGUAAAAACAUGAAAAAUAAUUUUGAAUAUUCUGAGGUUAUUGUUUACAUUUUAGGUGAAUGAGGAAAAAAAUGUUUUAAUUGGAUAAUCUUAAAAAAUGCUGAAUUUUAACAGCUAUUAUGGUGAAAGUGUAAUUAUUUAUUGUUCAGUACAUAUACAUAAUUGA